Triticum aestivum (bread wheat) is the source of this 136-nucleotide non-coding RNA. NCBI's taxonomy places the organism in Eukaryota, Viridiplantae, Streptophyta, Magnoliopsida, Poales, Poaceae. The record is from Rfam.
AUUCUACUCCCUCUGUUGCACAAUACAUGCCUUCUAUUUGUCAAAAUAUAUAUGUAUCUAGACAUGUUUUAGUAUAUAGGUACAUCCAUUUUUGGACAAAUGGAAGUCAAGUAUUUUGGAACGGAGGGAGUACAUA